GGUGAGCUGUUGACCUGGUGUGCCAAGUGGUUGCAAGGUGAGCUGCUGGCCGAAUAAGGCUGCUGGGCGAUGCUAUUGCUUGUGGUUAGGAGCUGCAACACUUGGUUGUUUUUGGAUGCUAGGAUCGAUAGUGGAACGAGUGAAUGGAGGUUGGUUUGAUGAGUGAUGAAUGAUGGAGAAGGUUGGUGGAAUUUAUAGGGAAGAGGGUAGGAGUUUAGUUAGAAUUCUUAGAACAAUUUAAUAGUUAAAAUAUUC
Molecule: long non-coding RNA, 255 nt
Filed under: Gossypium raimondii (Peruvian cotton)
Lineage: Eukaryota; Viridiplantae; Streptophyta; Magnoliopsida; Malvales; Malvaceae
Description: long non-coding RNA (GRAI_LNC005634)
Source: RNAcentral